CACCAGCGCCCCGAGUGGUGGUCACGUUUAUUGGGCCUAAAGCGUUCGUAGCCGGUUUGGUAAAUUCCUUGUGAAAUCGUCGCGCUUAACGCGACGGCGUGCAGGGAACACUGCCAGACUAGGAACCGGGAGGAGUCAGAGGUAUGCCGUGGGGACCGGUAAAAUGGGAUAAUCCACGGUAGACCACCGAUGGCGAAGGCAUCUGACCAGAACGGAUUCGACGGUGAGGAACGAAAGCCAGGGGAGCGAA
This 250-nucleotide ribosomal RNA is filed under the name uncultured Candidatus Woesearchaeota archaeon. RNAcentral describes it as "partial 16S ribosomal RNA". It matches the Rfam family "Archaeal small subunit ribosomal RNA", at positions 474 to 723 of the family's 1478-position model. Lineage: Archaea; Nanobdellati; Candidatus Woesearchaeota. The record is from RNAcentral.